CGGGUGCGAAGUCCGGAUGAGAAAAACUGUGCCCGAGGCCUUGAAAACGGCCUGAGCCCGAAGGUUGAGGGACGUUUUCAAGACCGAGGGCACAGUUUUUCUCAUCCGGACUGACGCUGCCG
Non-coding RNA from Paramuricea clavata, 122 nucleotides. The record is from the annotation of a GenBank genome assembly. NCBI's taxonomy places the organism in Eukaryota, Metazoa, Cnidaria, Anthozoa, Malacalcyonacea, Plexauridae.